RNAcentral lists this ribosomal RNA (469 nucleotides) under uncultured bacterium. RNAcentral's name for it is "bacterial SSU rRNA". It matches the Rfam family "Bacterial small subunit ribosomal RNA", at positions 329 to 795 of the family's 1533-position model. The record is from RNAcentral.
CUCCAGACUCCUACGGGAGGCAGCAGUGAGGAAUAUUGGUCAAUGGGCUUACGCCUGAACCAGCCAAGUCGCGUGAGGGAAGACUGCCCUAUGGGUUGUAAACCUCUUUUGUCAGGGAGCAACGCCGGCUACGUGUAGCCGGACUGAGAGUACCUGAAGAAAAAGCAUCGGCUAACUCCGUGCCAGCAGCCGCGGUAAUACGGAGGAUGCGAGCGUUAUCCGGAUUUAUUGGGUUUAAAGGGUGCGUAGGCGGAAUGCCAAGUCAGGGGUAAAAUCGCGGGGCCCAACCCCGCUCCGCCGUUGAAACUGCGUUUCUUGAGUGGGCGAGAAGUACGCGGAAUGCGUGGUGUAGCGGUGAAAUGCAUAGAUAUCACGCAGAACUCCGAUUGCGAAGGCAGCAUACCGGCGCUCAACUGACGCUCAUGCACGAAAGUGUGGGUAUCGAACAGGAUUAGAUACCCCCGUACGC